UCGAAACUUUUCCUUACAUUUUGACAGUCAUUAGCUUUACAUAAAUACCCAUAAGUCAGUAGUUUCUUCCUAAUUUUUACAUCAAUAACCUUCAACUUUUAUCAACAAAAGUAUACAUUUAUAAGCCCAAGGUUAACUCAAAAACUGACUACUAAAUAACCCAAAAAUCAGCCACCAACAACCAUCUUCAUGAAAAGAUGAUAACCCAAAAACCAGCCACCAACAACCAUCUUUCAUGUAGAGACAAUAAAG
Molecule: long non-coding RNA, 252 nt
Filed under: Panax ginseng (ginseng)
Lineage: Eukaryota; Viridiplantae; Streptophyta; Magnoliopsida; Apiales; Araliaceae
Description: long non-coding RNA (PGIN_LNC013588)
Source: RNAcentral